This 450-nucleotide ribosomal RNA is filed under the name uncultured bacterium. RNAcentral's name for it is "partial 16S ribosomal RNA". It matches the Rfam family "Bacterial small subunit ribosomal RNA", at positions 354 to 796 of the family's 1533-position model. The record is from RNAcentral.
GUGGGGAAUCUUCCGCAAUGGACGAAAGUCUGACGGAGCAACGCCGCGUGAGUGAUGAAGGUCUUCGGAUUGUAAAGCUCUGUUAAUCGGGACGAAAGAGCCUAGUGUGAAUAAUGCUAGGAAGUGACGGUACCGGAAUAGAAAGCCACGGCUAACUACGUGCCAGCAGCCGCGGUAAUACGUAGGUGGCAAGCGUUGUCCGGAAUUAUUGGGCGUAAAGCGCGCGCAGGCGGAUCUGCCAGUCUGUCUUAAAAGUUCGGGGCUUAACCCCGUGAUGGGAUGGAAACUACAGAUCUAGAGUAUCGGAGAGGAAAGUGAAAUUCCUAGUGUAGCGGUGAAAUGCGUAGAUAUUAGGAAGAACACCAGUGGCGAAGGCGACUUUCUGGACGAAAACUGACGCUGAGGCGCGAAAGCCAGGGGAGCGAACGGGAUUAGAUACCCCGGUAGUCC